GGAAUAUAAGAAUCCGUCUCUUAACUUUUAACUAAAAAAAUUAAGAACCGGUUCUUAAAAUUCUUAUUUAAGAACCGGUUCUUAGCUUUUUUAGUUAAAAGUUAAGAAACGGGUUCUUAUAUUCC
This 125-nucleotide microRNA precursor is filed under the name Brassica oleracea var. oleracea. RNAcentral's name for it is "MIR9563 microRNA precursor family". It matches the Rfam family "MIR9563 microRNA precursor family". The record is from Rfam by way of RNAcentral. Lineage: Eukaryota; Viridiplantae; Streptophyta; Magnoliopsida; Brassicales; Brassicaceae.